This 510-nucleotide ribosomal RNA is filed under the name uncultured bacterium. Its description in RNAcentral is "partial 16S ribosomal RNA". It matches the Rfam family "Bacterial small subunit ribosomal RNA", at positions 28 to 507 of the family's 1533-position model. The record is from RNAcentral.
GACGAACGCUGGCGGCGUGCUUAACACAUGCAAGUCGAACGAAGAGCGAUGGAGGCUUGCUUCUAUCAAUCUUAGUGGCGAACGGGUGAGUAACGCGGAAUCAACCUGCCCUUCAGAGGGGGACAACCGUUGGAAACGACUGCUAAUACCGCAUACUAUCUAAUCUCGGCAUCGAGGAUAGAUGAACGGUGGCCUCUACAUGUAUGCUUUGACUGAAGGAGGGGAUUGCGUCUGAUUAGCUAGUUGGUGGGGUAACGGCCCAACAAAGCGAGGAUCAGUAGGCGGUCUGGGGGGGUGGACGGCCACAUUGGGACUGGGACACGGCUCAAGCUUCUUCGGGGGGCCGCAGUGGGGAAACCUCCGGAAUGGAGGGAAGUCUGAAGGAGGCACGCCGCGUGAGGGAAUACGGCCUUCGGGUCGUAAAGCUCUGUUAAUCGGGACGAAAGGCCUUCUUGCGAAUAGUGAGAAGGAUUGACGGUACCGGAACAGAAAGCCACGGCUAACUACGUG